RNAcentral lists this ribosomal RNA (253 nucleotides) under uncultured bacterium. Its description in RNAcentral is "partial 16S ribosomal RNA". It matches the Rfam family "Bacterial small subunit ribosomal RNA", at positions 524 to 776 of the family's 1533-position model. The record is from RNAcentral.
UACGGAGGGUGCAAGCGUUAUCCGGAAUCACUGGGUUUAAAGGGUGCGUAGGUGGGGAGGUAAGUCAGCGGUGAAAUCCCCGAGCUUAACUUGGGAACUGCCAUUGAUACUAUCUCUCUUGAAUAUCUUGGAGGUGAGCGGAAUAUGUCAUGUAGCGGUGAAAUGCUUAGAUAUGACAUAGAACACCAAUUGCGAAGGCAGCUCACUACACGGUAAUUGACACUGAGGCACGAAAGCGUGGGGAUCAAACAGG